Molecule: long non-coding RNA, 1269 nt
Organism: Patella vulgata (common limpet)
Lineage: Eukaryota; Metazoa; Mollusca; Gastropoda; Patellidae
Exons: 3
Source: RefSeq, a predicted model, not a curated record
UAACAGCACCACAAUGCAUAUAGCUGGUAUCGAGUCUAAACAAACAUCUUUCGAGAAAUGCGUCGACCAAAUUUAAAAUAGCCCACUUGGUCGUGUGCGCUGUAUUAAUUGUAGUUUGAAACAUCGAUUAGCCAGUUUAGUUUAAACAGAAUAGAAAAUUGUGCAUCAUGCAUGUGGAUGAAUGAAUAACAAGACAUAUCCUUUGCUGUGUUUUAAGUUACAAGCGAAACAAUGUUUCUCAAGAUGGAAUUUGGACAUUUGCUUUUAGUAGUAAUUAUGUGUAUUUCCACAAUGUGUUAUACCAAAGAACUGAGGGUGAAACGAGACGCCAGGCCCAGAAGACAAAGAUUAAAUAACCAAAAUGCGAGAUCCAGACAAGCCUUACAGAACAUGUUCAGUAACGAAAAUCUCGCAGCAUUUACCCCACCCCCUCUUCUCCCGAGCGAAGUCGAAUGUCAAGUUGGAGUUGAAGAGACAGUGUUCCACGAUGGUAGAUGCAUAAGCCUUGGAAAUUCCCAAAGACAUGCAUGUCAAGGUGGGCGACAUCUAGAGCUAUACAAUAACGAGUGUGUCCGGCAGUCAGGUAGCCAGAGGACCGGGCGUAGAACCAACCCAAACAACCGAGGACGACAGGGUACAAGCAGAAGUAAUAGACAGAGGAGAAGAAAUGGCGGUCAGGGAACUAGAAAAUGAUUGCUCAUUAUUCCGCCCAACUCACAAGCCCCGACACGUUACUUGGUUUUAGAAAUGCCUGUCAAUGUAAUCAGAUUGCUACUGUAGCUAUUAUUACAUGUGUAUAAUACGUGGCCAUACACCACCAUCAAAAUGUAGAUUUACGGUGACACGACGACGGACAGUAGCCAAAAUUACUCCAGCCACAUGAAGCGCCACCCUGUGAAAUUUAAACAGAGUGAUCUCCCGUUCACUGUAAAGUCCAUUUAUUACUGUUACAUAAAUGUCGCUUUUGUAAUUCCAGUACUCAAAACAAAGGGAAAUAAUUUCAAAUAUCAUAGUUAAAUGCCCCAGUUAAAUUAUCAAUAACACUAACAGUUAAUGACAUCUAACAAUUAACUGAAAAUAUUCUUGAUCUGACCGAACUUUGGCUCAAAACAAAGUGAAAUAAUUUCAAAUAUCGUAGUUCAGAGCCCUAGUUAACUCAAGAUUUUCUCGAUCUGACUACUUAGGCUAAACCUGGUUUGUGUGUAUGACUCUAUCAACAAAUUGUGAAACAUAUAUAUGAACUAAAUAAUAAAUUAAGUGUCAUCUAUA